RNAcentral lists this ribosomal RNA (253 nucleotides) under uncultured bacterium. RNAcentral's name for it is "partial 16S ribosomal RNA". It matches the Rfam family "Bacterial small subunit ribosomal RNA", at positions 524 to 776 of the family's 1533-position model. The record is from RNAcentral.
UACGUAGGGUGCAAGCGUUGUCCGGAAUUAUUGGGCGUAAAGAGCUCGUAGGUGGCCUGUCGCGUCGGCUGUGAAAACUCGGGGCUCAACUCCGAGCUUGCAGUCGAUACGGGCAGGCUAGAGUUCGGCAGGGGAGACUGGAAUUCCUGGUGUAGCGGUGAAAUGCGCAGAUAUCAGGAGGAACACCGGUGGCGAAGGCGGGUCUCUGGGCCUUUCCUGACGCUGAGACGCGAAAGCGUGGGGAGCGAACCGG